Triticum aestivum (bread wheat) is the source of this 2141-nucleotide long non-coding RNA. RefSeq lists it as uncharacterized. The transcript is spliced from 3 exons. Lineage: Eukaryota; Viridiplantae; Streptophyta; Magnoliopsida; Poales; Poaceae. The record is from RefSeq and is a predicted model, not a curated record.
UAGUAAUAAUAAAGCACAGAUUGACUUUGUCGGGUUCACCGUCAUAAUACGCUUUUUUCUCAUGUCAUAAUAUGCUUUUACAAUUCGUGUAGACAAAAUCAAAAUCCAAGAUGGUACUACUCCCGAGAGCUCUAACAGUCGAGCUUUGCCUGAAACCUAAUCAGGCCGGCCCGGUCGAGCUUUGGCUGAAACCUCAGAUACGUAAUCGGGCCGGCCCAGUCGAGCUUCGGCUGAAUCCUCACGUAAGUAACCGGGCCGGCCCAUAACCAGGAAACGAGAACAUGAAAAUAGCACGAAAAACAAAACCACACUUGAUGGGUUCGAUCUCGCGACCUCACGCUAGGUAGCAGGGACACCAACCACAUGAGCUAGCUGUUGAUAAUGCUCAAAUUGCAGCGCCCAAGUUAAAGUAGUUUAGCGACAGGUCUAUUUAUUUUUCUUAAAUAUUUUCAACAAUUCUUGGAAACAAGUGUGGACAAUUUUCCUUAAAAUAUUUGAAUAUGAAUACGUUUUUAAAAUCGUGGAUAAAUAUCGAAAAUUCGAACAAAAUUUUUAAACCUGAACAAAUUUUGCAAUUCCAAACGUUUAUUUAUUUUUGAUAUACGUUGUAUUUUUAGAAGAAUAUACAUUGAACAUUUCUUUACAUAAAUUUUACAAUUUUACAUACAAAUUGAACAUUUUUCUCCCGUUGCAACGCACGGGUCUUUUUGCUAGUAUGUUCAAAAAGGAGAAAAAAAUCCCAACAUCCGGGCAUUAACUUCCCGCAACUCCCGCAUCUAACCUGUUCCUAAUUUCUCGCCCCACAUGCCUCCCGAUUCCAUUCGCCGCCAACAGCACGCACAGGCCCAAGCUCGCCUCGCCCAGAUCCCUUCCACCACCCCCGCCUCCAUCGCCCAUCGUCGUUGUGUAUCGUGGACACCUCAUCGGUCAGUCCUCUUCCUCUACUCCUCCCCACCACAUCGUCUGUUCAUUGAUCUACCGAGCUGCUAAUUCUGCAUGACAAUCAUGGCCGUGAUCUGCCGAGGUGCUAAUUCUCCACGACACCACGACCAUGAUCCGCCAAGGCCGAUGUGAGCGGGCACCAACAAUCGUGAGCAAGAAGUUUGAUGGCCGUUCCUUUUGGCAUGUAGGUGGCCGUGAUGCCCAUCCCAGCAGGGAGGAUGGAUAGGCAUCGGGCAAUCACCAAGUGACAGGAUAAUGCUCCCUUCUCCUGGAGUGCCAUCCCUUCUCGACAGCGACCAGAGCACGCCCGGCCGGUUGCACAUCGGCUUCACGUCCUCGCGCCGCUCCAUGCAUGCCAAUCCUUCUUAGUGCCGCUAACCAUGGCGAUAAAGGAAGCAUGCCUACCAUGCACUUCCAGCAUUGGCAGGACGCACGUCCGACAUCAAAUAGAAGCACGAUUACAAUCGCAACGAAGCACGACCAACUUCUCCAUACCAAGUUCCCUAAUGUUGAGUUCCCUUAUUUUUCAUGCAUAUAAUUAUAUGGUGAUGAAUUUUUGCCUUAACCGAGUUCCCAUAACAUGUUUUUACUCUAGUGUGUCUUUUAUGUAUGUUGUGAGAAAAUGAAGAUAUUACAUCCUAGCAACCAUGCUUCAUAGAUUAUUGCAUAUGAUUCUAUGGUGAUGAAUUUUUGCUUCCACCAUUGUAAGUGUGUGCUACUCUGACUGUACAUUUUUUUUGCUUCAACCAUUAUCCGAUACUAGUGUCUCUUCAACCACUACUACUCUCUGCUUCAACCAUUUGCUUUUGUUCAUGAAUUUCAUUAUACAACCAUAUUGCUUUAUUUAGUGGAUUUUUGUACAAGCUACUAAAUUUUGUGCUUCCUUCUUUCUCACUGAAUGCUUCAGUUGUACAGAUUCCCAAUAAUGAUGCAAUGUGUGUUGAUUACUAGACCAACCGGGCUCUAAGUUGUCGGUUCUACGACGAGCGAUGCAGAGCUCAUGGCAAACACAGACAUUGUCAUGAUCGGAUUGCCGCCCUCCGCUAUGACGACUACAACAAAAUGAAAUUAUUGUUGUAAUAGUAUUUUACUAUUGUUGUAAAUGAAUUUGUAAAUUUGUGUUCACAAAGUAUUAGUCUGUUUCAAUGUAUCAUCAUACAUGUCCUGCUGCCACAUGGUUUGCGAAGCAGAAAAAAUCU